CUACGGGACGCUGCAGAUACGAAGCCUCUACAAUGCACGAAAGUGUGAUAGGGGAACCCCUCGUGCUUGCGUUCAGCGUAAGCUUUUGUUAAGUGUAAGUAGCUUAGCGAAUAAGUGGUGGGCAAGACCGGUGCCAGCCGCCGCGGUAAUCCCGGCGCCACAAGUGGUAGUCACGUUUAUUGGGCUUAAAGCGUCCGUAGCCGGAUAGCUAAGUUUUUAGUCAAAUCCAGCGGCUUAACCGUUGGUCUGCUAGAAAUACUGGUUAUCUUGGGACCGGGAGGAGUUAGAGGAAUGCCAUGGGGAGCGGUAGAAUGCUAUAAUCCAUGGUGGACCAUCAGUGGCGAAGGCGUCUAACUAGAACGGGUCCGACGGUCAGGGACGAAAGCUAGGGGAGCAAACCGGAUUAGAUACCCCCGUAGUC
This 421-nucleotide ribosomal RNA is filed under the name uncultured archaeon. Its description in RNAcentral is "partial 16S ribosomal RNA". It matches the Rfam family "Archaeal small subunit ribosomal RNA", at positions 323 to 746 of the family's 1478-position model. The record is from RNAcentral.